GGGCACCACAAGAACGCGUGGAGCAUGUGGCUUAAUUUGACUCAACGCGGGAAAUCUUACCGGGUCCGGACACACUGAGGAUUGACAGGCGAUAUAACGAAUCUUAUUUUUUAAUAAGAUAUUCGUUAUUCAAAUAUGCUAGUCCUUUCAUGAUUAUGUGGUAGGUGGUGCAUGGCCGUUCUUAGUUCGUGGAGUGAUCUGUCUGCUUAAUUGCGUUUCACUAAGGUCCCAUAUACUAAAGGCAUGUCGACCUCUCUUUAGGCUUAAUUAAGUCUUGGACCCCUCUUUUAUUAAGAGCGAGUGUCUAAUGUCUUAUUUUCCUUUAUAUAAGAUAGUGUCGUAUGCUGUUGGGAUCUGAAAGCAACGAACGUGACCGCAACGUCUUGUUGCCUUACCUAUACUGGUAUUAUACUUUAAUACCGUAUAACUCAAGGCUUUACUUAUAAAACUAGACGGACCGCUGUUUCUUUUUCUUAAACCAGAGGAAGGUUGCGGCAAUAACAGGUCUGUGAUGCCCUUAGAUGUUCCGGGCUGCACACGUGCUACAAUGAUCAGUACAGUGAGCAUCUCAAUUUAUCUUUAUAUAGAAUUCAUUCUAUAUAAGAACCGUAUUUUCAAGCAUCUGUCGUUAUUACAAUGAUCAGUAUGCGCGGUAACGCCUGUUUCGAGAGUAAAUGGGUAAUCCAUUGGAAGUAAUGAUUUCUCUAUUUUAUAAUAAAAUGCACGGUUUAUAUACGGCAUUCAUUCCCGAGGCGCCUUUGUAGUGUCUAUGUGCGAAUGUAAUGUUAUGGCUUUGUUAUUAACGGCUAUUCCUUAAUAGUUUUGUUAUUAACGGCUAUAGUUAUCGUAUGUGCGAUUGUCAAUUCGUGGUGGGGACAGACCAUUGUUAACUG
RNAcentral lists this ribosomal RNA (893 nucleotides) under Globorotalia scitula. RNAcentral describes it as "SSU rRNA". The stretch from base 20 to 546 matches the Rfam family "Eukaryotic small subunit ribosomal RNA", at positions 1178 to 1501 of the family's 1831-position model. The record is from RNAcentral. Lineage: Eukaryota; Foraminifera; Rotaliida; Globorotaliidae.